This 407-nucleotide ribosomal RNA is filed under the name uncultured bacterium. Its description in RNAcentral is "partial 16S ribosomal RNA". It matches the Rfam family "Bacterial small subunit ribosomal RNA", at positions 30 to 526 of the family's 1533-position model. The record is from RNAcentral.
AUUGAACGCUAGCGGGAUGCCUUACACAUGCAAGUCGAACGGAGUGGCGAACGGGUGCGUUAUGUCUCGGCCCGUGCCCCGUAGCGGGGGAUAACUACCCGUACGCGUCCCUACUACCGCCUCCUUUUGGAGCCGCCGAUCUCGGAUUGGCUAGUGGGUGGGGUAACGGCUCACCAAGGCGACGAUCCGUAGCUGGUUUGAGAGGACGACCAGCCACACUGGGACUGAGAAACGGUCCAGACUCCUACGGGAGGCAGCAGUGGGGAAUUUUGGACAAUGGGGGAAAGCCUGAUCCAGCCAUCCCGCGUGUGCGAUGAAGGCCUUCGGGUUGUAAAGCACUUUUGGCAGGAAAGCGGUACCUGCAGAAGAAGCACCGGCUAACUACGUGCCAGCAGCCGCGGUAAUAA